Molecule: ribosomal RNA, 363 nt
Filed under: uncultured bacterium
Lineage: Bacteria
Description: partial 16S ribosomal RNA
Rfam family: Bacterial small subunit ribosomal RNA
Source: RNAcentral
CCUACGGGAGGCAGCAGUGAGGAAUAUUUGUCAAUGGACGCAAGUCUGAACCAGCCAUGCCGCGUGCAGGAAGACGGCUCUAUGAGUUGUAAACUGCUUUUGUGCGAGGGCAAACGCAGAUACGCGUAUCUGUCUGAAAGUAUCGUACGAAUACGGAUCGGCUAACUCCGUGCCAGCAGCCGCGGUAAUACGUGGGAUUCAAGCGUUGUCCGGACUUAUUGGGUUUAAAGGGUGCGUAGGCGGUCGGAUAAGUUAGAGGUGAAAUCUCGAGGCUCAACUUCGGAAUUGCCUCUGAUACUGUUCGGCUAGAGAAUAGGUGCGGUAGGCGGAAUGUAUGGUGUAGCGGUGAAAUGCUUAGAGAUC